This 468-nucleotide ribosomal RNA is filed under the name uncultured bacterium. RNAcentral describes it as "partial 16S ribosomal RNA". It matches the Rfam family "Bacterial small subunit ribosomal RNA", at positions 28 to 507 of the family's 1533-position model. The record is from RNAcentral.
GACGAACGCUGGCGGCGUGCUUAACACAUGCAAGUCGAACGGAAAGGCCCUGCUUUUGUGGGGUGCUCGAGUGGCGAACGGGUGAGUAACACGUGAGUAACCUGCCCUUGACUUUGGGAUAACUUCAGGAAACUGGGGCUAAUACCGGAUAGGAGCUCCUGCUGCAUGGUGGGGGUUGGAAAGUUUCGGCGGUUGGGGAUGGACUCGCGGCUUAUCAGCUUGUUGGUGGGGUAGUGGCUUACCAAGGCUUUGACGGGUAGCCGGCCUGAGAGGGUGACCGGCCACCUUGGGCCUGAGCUACGGCCCAGACUCCUACGGGCGGCAGCAGUGGGGAAUAUUGCACAAUGGGCGGAAGCCUGAUGCAGCAACGCCGCGUGCGGGAUGACGGCCUUCGGGUUGUAAACCGCUUUCGCCUGUGACGAAGCGUGAGUGACGGUAAUGGGUAAAGAAGCCCCGGCUAACUACGUG